UACGGGGGGGGCAAGCGUUGUUCGGAAUUACUGGGCGUAAAGGGCUCGUAGGCGGCCAACUAAGUCGGAUGUGAAAUCCCCAGGCUUAACCUGGGAACUGCAUCCGAUACUGGAUGGCUUGAAUCCGGGAGAGGGAUGCGGAAUUCCAGGUGUAGCGGUGAAAUGCGUAGAUAUCCGGAGGAACACCGACGGCGCAGGCAGCGUCCUGGCCGCUUGCUGACACUGAGGCACGAAAGCUGGGGGAGCAAACAGG
Molecule: ribosomal RNA, 253 nt
Filed under: uncultured bacterium
Lineage: Bacteria
Description: partial 16S ribosomal RNA
Rfam family: Bacterial small subunit ribosomal RNA
Source: RNAcentral